Molecule: long non-coding RNA, 732 nt
Organism: Peromyscus eremicus (cactus mouse)
Lineage: Eukaryota; Metazoa; Chordata; Mammalia; Rodentia; Cricetidae
Exons: 2
Source: RefSeq, a predicted model, not a curated record
UGGGAGCAAGACAGACAAUAGAACUCACUUUCUCAUCCCCAAGUGAUUUUUAUUCUCAGAAACUUAGGCCCACUCAGUUCUUAUUAUACGACGUGUUUUCUGUGGCAGAACAGUAAUGGUGUCUGACCUUUAAUCUCAUUUUAUGAUUGUUUUCUCUUACCACAUCAUUCACGUAACCUUCGAGUUAAAUAGGAGCACUUUCUUAUUCCUCCUGUGUAAAGACAUUAUUUGUACUCCAUGAACAGCUUAGCAUAUUUACAUGGUUAAUUGUUCUGAGUCACCACACCCACCCUGCCUAGAUGCCUCUGGAGGAAUAUAAGGUUAAUUCCAGCAAAUCUAAAUAGACACAGCACAAGAAGCACAUGACCCUGUUAUCCACAGGAUGAGCAAAGAGUUCAGGUGACGAUGCUACCAAAUGACAUAAAGCAAAAAACGUGAAGUCACGAUAACAAGAACUAGACUGUCAGAAUCCAGAAGAAAUUUCUUCAAAUGGAAGGUGGGACAAGCUGCAGGAAACAACCUUAUGCUUCAGCUUUGAGGAGGAAAGGAGAAAUUUGAUGCUUCUUCAGCUUGGAAUGCUUUGGAGGAAGUCAGGACAGACUUCAGAUUGGAUGUCGCUUUUUAAAAAGAUUAUACUUAGCAACAGAUUAACAAUUUUAUUUGAUGAAAGGAACAACAAAUUAUAGGACAUUGCCUCUUUAAUUUUCAUUAAACAACAAUGGAAAAUUUUAA